Molecule: ribosomal RNA, 345 nt
Filed under: uncultured bacterium
Lineage: Bacteria
Description: bacterial SSU rRNA
Rfam family: Bacterial small subunit ribosomal RNA
Source: RNAcentral
AAGUCCCUUCGGGGACGUGUACAGCGGCGAACGGGUGAGUAACGCGUGAGAAUCUACCGUUUAGUGAAGAAUACUCUCGAGAAAUCGAGCUUAAUACUGCAUAAGUCCCUACGGGGAGAAAGGUGGCCUCUUUGCUACCGCUAAAUGAGGAGCUUGCGUACUAUUAGCUAGUUGGUGGGGUAAUGGCCUACCAAGGCGAUGAUGGUUAACCGGCCUGAGAGGGUGUUCGGUCACACUGGAACUUAGAUACGGUCCAGACUCCUACGGGAGGCAGCAGUGAGGAAUCUUGCACAAUGGGCGAAAGCCUGAUGCAGCGACGCCGCGUGGAGGAUGAAGGUUUUAGGA